Molecule: transfer RNA, 77 nt
Filed under: Escherichia coli
Lineage: Bacteria; Pseudomonadati; Pseudomonadota; Gammaproteobacteria; Enterobacterales; Enterobacteriaceae
Description: tRNA-Leu
Source: RNAcentral
GCGACGGUGAUGCAACCGGUAGACAUCUGCGGCUCAGAACCACAGUCCUGCGAGUUCGAGUCUCGCACUGUGCACCA